GUCUAUAGCUCAGUUGGAAGAGCGCCUGAUUUGCAUUCAGGAGGUCGAGAGUUCGAGUCUCUUUAGAUCC
This 70-nucleotide transfer RNA is filed under the name bovine gut metagenome. It matches the Rfam family "tRNA". From Rfam's summary of the family: Transfer RNA (tRNA) molecules are approximately 80 nucleotides in length. The record is from RNAcentral.